RNAcentral lists this ribosomal RNA (499 nucleotides) under uncultured Glomeromycotina. RNAcentral's name for it is "partial small subunit ribosomal RNA". It matches the Rfam family "Eukaryotic small subunit ribosomal RNA", at positions 591 to 1092 of the family's 1831-position model. The record is from RNAcentral. Lineage: Eukaryota; Fungi; Glomeromycota.
CCAAUAGCGUAUAUUAAAGUUGUUGCAGUUAAAAAGCUCGUAGUUGAAUUUCGAGACCGGUUUAUUGGUCGUGCUUUUGUACGUACUGGUAUUAUUGGUUUCUCCUUUCUGACGAAUCUUAAUGCCAUUAAUUUGGUGUUUUGGGGAAUCAGGACUGUUACUUUGAAAAAAUUAGAGUGUUUAAAGCAGGCUCACGCUUGAAUACAUUAGCAUGGAAUAACGGAAUAGGACGUUUGAUUCUAUUUUGUUGGGUUCUAGGAUCGACGUAAUGAUUAAUAGGGAUAGUUGGGGGCAUUAGUAUUCAAUUGUCAGAGGUGAAAUUCUUGGAUUUAUUGAAGACUAACUACUGCGAAAGCAUUUGCCAAGGAUGUUUUCAUUAAUCAAGAACGAAAGUUAGGGGAUCGAAGACGAUCAGAUACCGUCGUAGUCUUAACCAUAAACUAUGCCGACUAGGGAUCGGAUGAUGUUAAUUUUUUAAUGACUCAUUCGGCGCCUUACG